AAAGAGUCUGAAACGGCAUCCUAUUCCCUAUGUGGUGCACUACCCCCUCUGUCUGGUUUCUGAUUGGUCCAUUCAGGAAACAGGUCCAUUUUGAUUGGUCCAUUCAGGAAGCAGGUCCAUUUUGAUUGGUCCAUUCAGGAAGCAGGUCCAUUUUGAUUGGUCCAUUCAGGAAGCAGGUCCAUUUUGAUUGGUCCAUUCAGGAAGCAGGUCCAUUUUGAUUGGUCCAUUCAGGAAGCAGGUCCAUUUUGAUUGGUCCAUUCAGGAAGCAGGUCUAUUUUGAAUGGUCUAUUCAGGAAGCAGGUCCAUUUUGAUUGGUCCAUUCAGGAACCAGGUCCAUUUUGAAUGGUCUAUUCAGGAAGCAGGUCCAUUUUGAAUGGUCUAUUCAGGAAGCAGAGGCCAGAUUGACAGCAAGCUACCAUUUACAAUAGACUGGGCUAAAAGCCGGGAUUUAAUUAAAGAAGCGAUAAGCAAACAACACUCUCAACAGUGAUCCUUUAAAGGGAAUUUCCAAGAUGUUUGCAGAGAUGUUGCAUUU
Molecule: long non-coding RNA, 535 nt
Organism: Oncorhynchus keta (chum salmon)
Lineage: Eukaryota; Metazoa; Chordata; Actinopteri; Salmoniformes; Salmonidae
Exons: 4
Source: RefSeq, a predicted model, not a curated record